AUGUCCAAGCCAAAGUUCAUGAGUGGUUUAGGAUUUCAGGAUGUGGAGCUUUUCAACUUGGCUUUGCUUGCCCGCCAAGUAUGGAGAUUGUUACAGGAGCCGAAGACACUCAAUGCACGAGUGCUAAAAGCCCGCUACUACCCCAACACCAGUAUAUUAGACGCAACUUUGGGCUCGGCCCCCUCCCAGGUUUGGUGAUCUCUACUGGAAGGCAUGGAUGUUCUGUCUCCUGGCCUAAUUAAGAGGAUUGGAACAGGCUCGAGCACACGGAUUUGGAGUGAUAAUUGGAUGCCGAGGGAUUACAAGCUUCGUCCCAUAUGCGCUCGGACAGCUAACCCACCCUUGUUGGUCUCGGAACUCAUUAAUCCAGCUACUCGGUCAUGGGACAAGCAAAUCAUAGUGGAGCAUUUCAUUGCUCUGGACGUUGAAGUAAUCCUCAAUAUACCCACCAGUUCUUGA
RNAcentral lists this ribosomal RNA (459 nucleotides) under Triticum aestivum (bread wheat). RNAcentral describes it as "partial small subunit ribosomal RNA". Lineage: Eukaryota; Viridiplantae; Streptophyta; Magnoliopsida; Poales; Poaceae. The record is from RNAcentral.